This 425-nucleotide ribosomal RNA is filed under the name uncultured bacterium. RNAcentral's name for it is "bacterial SSU rRNA". It matches the Rfam family "Bacterial small subunit ribosomal RNA", at positions 355 to 772 of the family's 1533-position model. The record is from RNAcentral.
UGGGGAAUAUUGGACAAUGGGCGCAAGCCUGAUCCAGCAAUGCCGCGUGGGUGAAGAAGGCCUUCGGGUUGUAAAGCCCUUUUGUACGGGAAGAAAUCCUGUCGGUUAAUACCCGGCGGGGAUGACGGUACCGUAAGAAUAAGCACCGGCUAACUCUGUGCCAGCAGCCGCGGUAAUACAGAGGGUGCAAGCGUUGUCCGGAAUUACUGGGCGUAAAGGGCGCGUAGGCGGUCCAAUAAGUAGGGGGUGAAAUCUCACGGCUCAACCGGGAGGCUGCCUUCUAGACUGUUGGACUUGAGCACGGUAGAGGCAGAUGGAAUUCCCGGUGUAGCGGUGGAAUGCGUAGAGAUCGGGAAGAACACCAGUGGCGAAGGCGAUCUGCUGGGCCGUUGCUGACGCUGAGGCGCGACAGCGUGGGGAGCAAA